UUCCCGUGGCAUAUGGAGGUGCCCAGGCUAGGGGUCGGUCUAAUCAGAGCUGUCACCACCGGCCUACGCCAGAGUCAUAGCAAUGAGGGAUCCCAGCCGAGCCGCGUCUGCGACCUACACCACAGCUCAUGGCAACGCCAGAUCCUUAACCCACUGAGCAAGGCCAGGGAUUGAACCUACAACCUCAUGGUCCCUAGUCGGCUAUGUUAACCACUGCAUCAGGACGGGAACUCCUUUAAUGCUUGUUUUGAAAUAUUAAAUUUAUUUCAUACCCAACAACGGGUUGCAACCUGCCGUUCGAAACAGAGUGAUCCGGUGAGCAACACACACAUGCCUUGAGAAUCACAAACUGUUACCAUCAAAGUGUGGAGAAGAUCUCGAAGUGGCUCAAGCUGCCAGCACACACCUGCCUAAGGCAGCAAGUAUCCUUUUUAAUUUCUCCACAAUUUCCUCCUUUUUAUUUACGCAUUUUUAAAUCUUUUUAACAAUUUAAUUUUAUCGAAGUAGAGUUGAUUUACAAUGUUGUAUUGGUUUCAGGUGUACAGCCAAGUGGAGCGGUCAUACAUAUAAAUAGAUCCAUUCAUUUUUUCCCAGGUAGGUUAUUACAAACCACUGAGUAGACUUCCCUGCGCUAUUCAAUCGGUUCUUGUUAAUCGUCUAUUUUAUACAGUCGAGUGUAUAGAGGAGUUUGGCAAUCGACCUGAAAAAGAAUUCAGAGUAAUCACAGUAGGAUGAUCCGGGUUCUCCAAAGAAGAAUGGAGACACAGAUGGAGAAGCCCCAAGAAACCUUUAACAGAGAGUUUACAAAAUGUUCUGAUAAAGCACCGGGCAAAUCCUCAGGCCUCAAAGCUAGAGACGUGUUGGGGCCUAGGAGAAAAGAAGGAAGAGAUACUUAAUGGUUCUGGCUUGACUUGGCACCAAAGUCAUCACGAGUAGCUGAGGGGGCAGUUUCUUAGCCUCAAUAAAAUGUAUCCACCAGGAGUUCCCAUCGUGGCUCAGCAGUUAACGAACCUGACUAGCAUCUGUGAGGACGCCGGGUUGAUCCCUGGCCUCGCUCAGUGGGUUGAGGAUCUGGCGUGGCCGUGAGCUGUGGUGUAGGUCGCAGACGUGGCUCAGAUCCCUCAUUGCUGUUGGUGUAGGCGGGUGGCUGCAGCUCUGAUUGGACCCCUAGCCUGGGAACCUCCAUAUGCCACAAGUGUGGCCCUAAAAAGAUAAAAAAAUAAAAUAAUACAAUAAAAUAAAAUGAAAAUAAACUACUCAGAAGAAAAAGAAUCCAUCACCUAGAAUCUGACUGGGACAUGUUCGGCACAUGUUAGGCACUCAAUAAAACUUAUUUAUUACUAUGAAUACUAAGGAUUAUCUUCAAAAAAUAAUUUUUCUGUGUCUU
This 1387-nucleotide long non-coding RNA is filed under the name Sus scrofa (pig). Its description in RNAcentral is "lncRNA (ENSSSCG00040053596.1)". The record is from RNAcentral. Lineage: Eukaryota; Metazoa; Chordata; Mammalia; Artiodactyla; Suidae.